UACAGAGGUCUCAAGCGUUGUUCGGAUUCAUUGGGCGUAAAGGGUGCGUAGGUGGGCAGGUAAGUCAGUGGUGAAAUCUCCGGGCUUAACCCGGAAACUGCCGUUGAUACUAUUUGUCUUGAAUAUAGUGGAGGUGAGCGGAAUAUGUCAUGUAGCGGUGAAAUGCUUAGAUAUGACAUAGAACACCAAUUGCGAAGGCAGCUUGCUACACUAUUAUUGACACUGAGGCACGAAAGCGUGGGGAUCAAACAGG
RNAcentral lists this ribosomal RNA (253 nucleotides) under uncultured bacterium. RNAcentral describes it as "partial 16S ribosomal RNA". It matches the Rfam family "Bacterial small subunit ribosomal RNA", at positions 524 to 776 of the family's 1533-position model. The record is from RNAcentral.